CAGAUGAGACUGAUGGGGUCGGAGAAGCUGCUCACAAUCAUUUUUCCUCCUUCGGGCUGAAACUGCGAGCAGAAGACAGAUGGAGCAGGAGGUUAAUGUGGGUGGAAAAGAAGAAGUCCUCUGUUUUGAAAUAUGUCGAAACCCCCGUCAGUCCCUGUGAUUAGCAUUAGAUUACAGGUGCCAACCACAUGAUUGAUCUCCACCUGUGCAGUCUGGUCAUGCUGCCCAUUGAUCCUCUCUGAUGUUGAGCUGGCCAAUCAACAUUCAGAACGUUCACCCUCCCAUCAGCCCACGAGCAGAGAGAGAACUGGGUCACCUCCACUUUCUUUCUCCUGUGGACAACAGCAGACUGUGGAGCCCCUCAAUAGUUCGCAGACGUUAGCUGCAAACACUAGCGGCCCAGUGCUGUAGAUCGAUAUGUCAGUAAAUCAUGAGGUAAAAAGGAACUGCCGAACAUCAUACUUCUGUCUCUCUGUAUUCUCAACAAUCUGCCUUUUGAAAUUCAGUUGCAGCGACUCUCUCCACUCGAAGGCUCUGGUCAUACGCUGCUCCUUUCUCUUUGACCCUUUGAUGCUGCACUGCAUUGUCUGCGCACGCUUGCGAAGAAUAAUAGAAAUAGGUCUGCGGUGGGAGGUGGAGCAGGCACCCCGGGGUGGGCUUCUGCACCUCCCUCAGAGUCUGCAUGGGCAGGAUCUGAACGACGUUAACGAUCAUACGAGGAACCUGGAGCACAACGAGGAGAGGACGCCCUCGCUGUAGCAUGAAUGCCAGCACUGUACUACUGAAACCUCACUAAUUCAGACAUGGAGAAAACAGACGGACCUUAUCUUUGCAGUAAUCACAGAUGUCGUUCAUGCCCAUGAGGAUGGUCAAAAGCUUCCAGUCCUCCUCGAAGUUCAGACCCUAAUGGAAGGACAACAGAUUUGGUCCAU
Molecule: long non-coding RNA, 932 nt
Organism: Acanthopagrus latus (yellowfin seabream)
Lineage: Eukaryota; Metazoa; Chordata; Actinopteri; Spariformes; Sparidae
Exons: 4
Source: RefSeq, a predicted model, not a curated record